CGGCGGACGGGUGAGUAACGCGUGGGUAACCUACCCUGUACACACGGAUAACAUACGAAAGGUAUGCUAAUACGGGAUAAUAUAUUUGAGAGGCAUCUCUUGAAUAUCAAAGGUGAGCCAGUACAGGAUGGACCCGCGUCUGAUUAGCUAGUUGGUAAGGUAACGGCUUACCAAGGCGACGAUCAGUAGCCGACCUGAGAGGGUGAUCGGCCACAUUGGAACUGAGACACGGUCCAA
This 237-nucleotide ribosomal RNA is filed under the name uncultured bacterium. Its description in RNAcentral is "partial 16S ribosomal RNA". It matches the Rfam family "Bacterial small subunit ribosomal RNA", at positions 96 to 334 of the family's 1533-position model. The record is from RNAcentral.